GGCUGAUCCGAGUGCAGUGGUGUUUAUUACUAAUUGAUCACAACCAGUUACAGAUUUCUUUGUUCUUCUCCACUCCCACUGCUUCACUUGACUAGCCUUAA
Unclassified non-coding RNA from Aotus nancymaae (Ma's night monkey), 101 nucleotides. It matches the Rfam family "Y RNA". From Rfam's summary of the family: Y RNAs are components of the Ro ribonucleoprotein particle (Ro RNP), in association with Ro60 and La proteins. The record is from Ensembl. NCBI's taxonomy places the organism in Eukaryota, Metazoa, Chordata, Mammalia, Primates, Aotidae.